This 1029-nucleotide ribosomal RNA is filed under the name Auxarthronopsis guizhouensis. RNAcentral's name for it is "SSU rRNA". It matches the Rfam family "Eukaryotic small subunit ribosomal RNA", at positions 76 to 1112 of the family's 1831-position model. Lineage: Eukaryota; Fungi; Ascomycota; Eurotiomycetes; Onygenales; Neogymnomycetaceae. The record is from RNAcentral.
AUAUGGUGAAACUGCGAAUGGCUCAUUAAAUCAGUUAUCGUUUAUUUGAUAGUACCCUUACUACAUGGAUACCCGUGGUAAUUCUAGAGCUAAUACAUGCUAAAAACCCCGACUUCGGAAGGGGUGUAUUUAUUAGAUAAAAAACCAAUGCCCUUUCGGGGCUCCCUGGUGAUUCAUAAUAACUUGUCGAAUCGCAUGGCCUUGCGCCGGCGAUGGUUCAUUCAAAUUUCUGCCCUAUCAACUUUCGAUGGUAGGAUAGUGGCCUACCAUGGUGGCAACGGGUAACGGGGAAUUAGGGUUCGAUUCCGGAGAGGGAGCCUGAGAAACGGCUACCACAUCCAAGGAAGGCAGCAGGCGCGCAAAUUACCCAAUCCCGAUACGGGGAGGUAGUGACAAUAAAUACUGAUACAGGGCUCUUUCGGGUCUUGUAAUUGGAAUGAGAACAAUUUAAACACCUUAACGAGGAACAAUUGGAGGGCAAGUCUGGUGCCAGCAGCCGCGGUAAUUCCAGCUCCAAUAGCGUAUAUUAAAGUUGUUGCAGUUAAAAAGCUCGUAGUUGAACCUUGGGUCCGGCUGGCCGGUCCGCUUCGCGGCGUGCACUGGUCCGGCUGGAUCUUUCCUUCUGGGGAAUCCCAUGGCCUUCACUGGCUGUGGGGGGAACCAGGACUUUUACUGUGAAAAAAUUAGAGUGUUCAAAGCAGGCCUUUGCUCGGAUACAUUAGCAUGGAAUAAUGAAAUAGGACGUGUGGUUUUAUUUUGUUGGUUUCUAGGACCGCCGUAAUGAUUAAUAGGGAUAGUCGGGGGCGUCAGUAUUCGGCUGUCAGAGGUGAAAUUCUUAGAUUUGCUGAAGACUAACUACUGCGAAAGCAUUCGCCAAGGAUGUUUUCAUUAAUCAGUGAACGAAAGUUAGGGGAUCGAAGACGAUCAGAUACCGUCGUAGUCUUAACCAUAAACUAUGCCGACUAGGGAUCGGACGGGCAAUUUAUGAUAACCCGUUCGGCACCUUACGAGAAAUCAAAGUUUUUGGGU